GAAAGUGGGCUUCUGGGCCAUCUCGCAUAUUCUCAACGGCUGUGCGUGAGCCACCACGCCCAGCCUGGUUUAUUCAUAAUCUUUGUCUUCCUAAUGAAAUGGUAAACUCCUCCAGGCAACCGGGAUACUAAGUGUCUAAAGCCUUUUUAUGACCCCAUAGCGCCAAAUGGUAGCUUUCAGUAGAUCCUUGUGGAUUUUAGUUGCCAGGCAGUUCUUGUCCAGAUGACUCUGAUUACCUUGCCAGUUACCACUGGCACUUCCAAAGUCAGCCUAGGGCCAGGUGAAAGAAUGGAGUAAUCAAGUGGGCACCAGGAAAUGACAGCACUAGGGGUAACACUGAAGGUCUGACGAUGUGAUCGUUCACAUUUUGUAAGUGAAAAAACCUGAAGCCCAGAGAAGUUAAGGCAUUUGUGGAAGGUCACAUGGCAAGGAGGUGGCAUGCAUGAUAUCACUUGAUCCUGACCUUCCCUGUCACUGACAGAAAUAGGGGUGAAUGGAGCAGGACAGUCAGGCUCUGCAGAGACCACCCUUAGAGGUCUUUCUAGAGCU
RNAcentral lists this small RNA (549 nucleotides) under Pan troglodytes (chimpanzee). RNAcentral describes it as "processed transcript". Lineage: Eukaryota; Metazoa; Chordata; Mammalia; Primates; Hominidae. The record is from RNAcentral.